Long non-coding RNA from Ictalurus punctatus (channel catfish), 1813 nucleotides. The record is from Ensembl. NCBI's taxonomy places the organism in Eukaryota, Metazoa, Chordata, Actinopteri, Siluriformes, Ictaluridae.
AUUCAGUCCUCUCUGAUUCACAUAAGUCAGUGAGUUCAGCGAGUCACGGUUUGGGCUUGGAGAUUUCCAGCAUUUCAGUGUGUGCACGUUUGGGUUGGGUUCAGACUGAGAUUCUUCUGUAUAUACUAAUGCACAGUAUAUCCAUCCAUCCAUUUUCUGUACCGCUUAUCCAGGCUCACAGGGAACCUGGAGCCUAUCCCAGGAGGAAUGGGGCACAAGGCAGGGGACAUCCUGGAUGGGGUGCAAGUCCAUUGCAGGGCGCAAUCACACCUACAUUCACAAAUUACGGACACUUUUGGAUAUGCCAAUCAGCCUACAAUGCAUGUCUUCGGACUGGCGGAGGAAACCGGAGUAUCUGGAGGUAACCCCGAAGCACGGGGAGAACAUACAAUCUCCGGUGCGAGGCGAACGUUCUAACCACUAAGCCACCGUGCCCCCCAAUAUACACAGAUUUUUUCCAGCAUUAUUUUGCUGACAGGAUUAGCCUAUAUUUCCCCAUUGCAGCCGUGACCCUAUGUUGCCCUCCAGAAAAUAUUAAUGAACAUUGCUAACACUGCAUACGUCUACUUUGAUGUCAGAGGCACGUAAAAUCUUGGAACUCGACCAGCGCGAGCUCAGUCUUUCUGGCUCAAACUGAAUCUCGGCAGAUUUUGACGUCAGAAUAACCAGAACGAGUCGGAUUCUGCGCCUAGAUCCCCACGUGCUCGCAUUCCUGCUUCUUGUCCCUCCCCCGCUUCCUGUGCCGCUAAGCUCUCCGCGUGCCUCACCAGUGGGGAAUGUUCAGGAGCUCGAACUGCCACACUUCAAAUCACCAGCUGUCAGUCAGACCUAAAUGGAAUAUUAAACAUAUGGAACAUAAUUGCACAACAAGAAAAUACUGACAUCCUACCUUGUUUUGGACUUGUUUUUAGUCUGGAAUAGCCUGCUAGGCUACAGUGGCACAGGAAACGUCUAAACCUUCCACUGACAAACUUCAAUAAUCACGUCAGCCAAAAAUAAAUAUUUUGGAUACAUUUCUGACAAGAUAAUCACAUAAACUAAGCAGAUUCCUUUUUUAUUGUUUUGUUUUUUUUGUUCACUUGCAUCCAUCAUCCACCAAAAGAGAUUUCUUGCCUCACAAGUCAAAACCUGGACUUAUUUAAUGUUAAAAAGGAAACUAUGUACUGACUACGUGUGGAAAGAAAGAAAGACCAGUUAUUCUUCCACCUGACAAAACACACACUGCCUGUACUGUGCACCAGUCUGAGCUGUAUUUCACCUCCAGGACGUGUCUGACACCUGAGUUCCACUAAUGACGCACAGGGUCAAAGCUGAUAGUGUGUCCAGACACAGUGCACACACAUGUUCCGGUCCUUUCUGAAAUGGAAAUUAUGCAUUGAGCUUUGUGUCUGUAUGUGUGGGGUAUGCAAAGAUGUUCCCAAUGUGAUUCCUUCCAAUGGAUUUGAACAAUUUUCUGACUCAGAGUAAAACAUUUGCCCAUGUGACAAACUGUAAUUGACACUUUAUGGAGUUGUGUAACUUGAUAUAAAAACUAUGCAAAUACAAGGAGCAAGAAGAAUAUCUACCACAUCUGGUCCUACAAAAAGCGAUGACUGGUCCAGACAUACUUUCUUCUCUCUCGUAAACACACUCUUGGAAAUAAAGAGUUCCAUCUGGCACCUUUGAGAAAUUGUUCCAAAAAGAGCGCCUGUAGAAAGCUGAAAUGAUUAACCAUUCAAAAACCCUUAGACACACUCAUUCUAUAUAUUUUUUUUCACACACAUUUUAGAAUAAUAAUAAAGCCAUCAAAACUCUGGAGUAACACAAAUGGAAC